AACGCACAUUGCGCCCGCCAGUAUUCUGGCGGGCAUGCCUGUCUGAGCGUCAUUUCAACCCUCACGCCCACUUGGGCGUGGUGUUGGGGAUCGGCCAAGCCCUAUAGACGGGACGCCGGCCCCUAAAUCUAGUGGCGGGACCGCUGUGGCCUCCUCUGCGUAGUAGUGAUACCCCGCAUGUGGAGAGCGGCGAGCCCCUGCCGUUAAACCCCCAACUUUUUCAAGGUUGACCUCAGAUCAGGUAGGAAUACCCGCUGAACUUAA
Molecule: unclassified non-coding RNA, 264 nt
Filed under: uncultured fungus
Lineage: Eukaryota; Fungi
Description: partial contains 5.8S ribosomal RNA, internal transcribed spacer 2, and large subunit ribosomal RNA
Rfam family: 5.8S ribosomal RNA (bases 1-52)
Source: RNAcentral